RNAcentral lists this ribosomal RNA (479 nucleotides) under uncultured bacterium. Its description in RNAcentral is "bacterial SSU rRNA". It matches the Rfam family "Bacterial small subunit ribosomal RNA", at positions 29 to 507 of the family's 1533-position model. The record is from RNAcentral.
ACGAACGCUGGCGGCGUGCCUAACACAUGCAAGUCAACUUGACUGAAGGAGCAAUCUGACAGUAGAGUGGCGCAAGGGUGCGUAACGCGUAAGUAACUUGCCCCAAGGUAAGGAAUAACGUCGAGAAAUCGGCGCUAAUACCUCAUAAUGCAGCGGAUCCGCAUGGAUAUGUUGUUAAAGGUUUACCGCCUUGGGAUAGGCUUGCGUCUGAUUAGCUAGUUGGUGUGGUAACGGCACACCAAGGCUACGAUCAGUAACUGGUCUGAGAGGAUGAUCAGUCACACUGGAACUGAGACACGGUCCAGACUCCUACGGGAGGCAGCAGUGAGGAAUAUUGGGCAACGCUCGAAAGAGUGACCCAGCAACGCCGCGUGGAGGAUGAAGGUAUUCUAUAUCGUAAACUCCUGUGAGAGCAGACGAAAGACAGAUUAUUAAUCUGGAUGACUGUAUGCUCAGAGGAAGCCCCGGCUAACUACGUG